This 151-nucleotide microRNA precursor is filed under the name Oryza barthii. Its description in RNAcentral is "MIR812 microRNA precursor family". It matches the Rfam family "MIR812 microRNA precursor family". The record is from Rfam by way of RNAcentral. Lineage: Eukaryota; Viridiplantae; Streptophyta; Magnoliopsida; Poales; Poaceae.
AAUAAGUGCAGUUUUGUACUAUUCACGUUCAACGUUUGAUCGUUCGUCUUAUUUGAAAAAUUUUUAUGAUUAGUAUUUUUAUUGCUAUUAGAUAAUAAAACAUGAAUAGUACUUUAAACGUUGGACAUGGAUAUCCACAGCUGCACUUAUU